This 73-nucleotide transfer RNA is filed under the name Camelus bactrianus (Bactrian camel). It matches the Rfam family "tRNA". From Rfam's summary of the family: Transfer RNA (tRNA) molecules are approximately 80 nucleotides in length. Their secondary structure includes four short double-helical elements and three loops (D, anti-codon, and T loops). Lineage: Eukaryota; Metazoa; Chordata; Mammalia; Artiodactyla; Camelidae. RNAcentral also lists the same sequence under 2 other names. The record is from Rfam by way of RNAcentral.
GAGGGUAUAGCUCAAGUGGUAGAGCAUGUGCUUAGCAUGCACAGAGUCCUGAGUUCAAUCCCUACUACCUCCU